AUUGAACGCUAGCGGGAUGCUUUACACAUGCAAGUCGAACGGCAGCGCGGACUUCGGUCUGGCGGCGAGUGGCGAACGGGUGAGUAAUGUAUCGGAACGUGCCCAGUAGCGGGGGAUAACUACGCGAAAGCGUAGCUAAUACCGCAUACGCCCUACGGGGGAAAGCCGGGGAUCGUAAGACCUUGCACUAUUGGAGCGGCCGAUAUCGGAUUAGCUAGUUGGUGAGGUAACGGCUCACCAAGGCGACGAUCCGUAGCUGGUUUGAGAGGACGACCAGCCACACUGGGACUGAGACACGGCCCAGACUCCUACGGGAGGCAGCAGUGGGGAAUUUUGGACAAUGGGGGCAACCCUGAUCCAGCCAUCCCGCGUGUGCGAUGAAGGCCUUCGGGUUGUAAAGCACUUUUGGCAGGAAAGAAACGUCGCGGGCUAAUACCCCGUGGAACUGACGGUACCUGCAGAAUAAGCACCGGCUAACUACGUG
RNAcentral lists this ribosomal RNA (484 nucleotides) under uncultured bacterium. RNAcentral's name for it is "partial 16S ribosomal RNA". It matches the Rfam family "Bacterial small subunit ribosomal RNA", at positions 30 to 507 of the family's 1533-position model. The record is from RNAcentral.